Molecule: transfer RNA, 57 nt
Filed under: Trachylepis laevigata (Variable skink)
Lineage: Eukaryota; Metazoa; Chordata; Lepidosauria; Squamata; Scincidae
Description: partial tRNA-Asx
Source: RNAcentral
CUAGACAAACGGGCCUUGAUCCCGUAAAAUCCUAGUUAACAGCUAGGCACCCAAUCU